GCUCCCUGCCUCCCCCAGUUUCAUAGCAUUUUCUCCUCUGGUCCUCUCCAAUCACCAUCACCAUCCACCUAGUUCAAACCAAAAGCUUAGAAUAUCCUCUGCUUCCUUCUUCUCCCCUCUCCCCACUUCGUGAUCCAUCAACAUCUCCCUAACCUCCCCUGAAACAUCACUCCACCCCAAGCUCCCUCCAGACUACCUCACAACCGGAGCCAGCUUUUUAAA
RNAcentral lists this long non-coding RNA (222 nucleotides) under Bos taurus (domestic cattle). Its description in RNAcentral is "long non-coding RNA NONBTAT015535". Lineage: Eukaryota; Metazoa; Chordata; Mammalia; Artiodactyla; Bovidae. The record is from RNAcentral.